This 500-nucleotide ribosomal RNA is filed under the name uncultured bacterium. RNAcentral's name for it is "partial 16S ribosomal RNA". It matches the Rfam family "Bacterial small subunit ribosomal RNA", at positions 28 to 507 of the family's 1533-position model. The record is from RNAcentral.
GACGAACGCUGGCGGCAUGCCUAAUACAUGCAAGUCGAGCGAACAUUUAUAGAUCCUUGCUUCUAUAAAUGUUAGCGGCGGAUGGGUGAGUAACACGUGUGCAACCUUCCCUGCAGAUGGGGAUAACUCCGGGAAACCGGGGCUAAUACCGGAUAAUCACUCUGUCCGCAUGGUCAAACUCUAAAAGACCGCUUCCGCUGUCACUUCAGGAUGGUCCCGCGGCGCAUUAGCUAGUUGCUGGGCUAACGGCCUACCCAUGCAACGAUGGCUAGCCUACCCGGGAGCGUGGAAGGCGAGACGGGGACUGGGAAACGGCCCAGACUCCUACGGAAGGCAGCAGUAGGGAGCUGUUGGUAAUGGACGCAAGUUUGAUGGAGCAACGCCGGGUGAGGGAAGAAGGUUUUCGGAUCGUAAAGCUCUGUUGUGAUGGAAGAACAAGUAUGGGGGUAACUGUCGUUACGUUGACGGUACCGAAUGAGAAAGCGACGGCUAACUACGUG